Molecule: ribosomal RNA, 251 nt
Filed under: uncultured bacterium
Lineage: Bacteria
Description: partial 16S ribosomal RNA
Rfam family: Bacterial small subunit ribosomal RNA
Source: RNAcentral
UACGUAGGGUGCAAGCGUUGUCCGGAAUCAUUGGGCGUAAAGCGCGCGUAGGCGCCCGAUAAGUCCGCUGUAAAAGUCAACGGCUCAACUGUUGAAAGCCGGUGGAUGACUGUCGGGCUAGAGUACGGAAGAGGCAAGUGGAAUUCCUGUGUAGCGGUGGAAUGCGCAGAUAUCAGGAGGAACACCUAUAGCGAAGGCAGCUUGCUGGGACGUUACUGACGCUAAGGCGCGAAAGCGUGGGAGCGAACAGG